ACUCCUACGGGAGGCAGCAGUGGGGAAUAUUGCACAAUGGGCGCAAGCCUGAUGCAGCCAUGCCGCGUGUGUGAAGAAGGCCUUCGGGUUGUAAAGCACUUUCAGUCGUGAGGAAGGUAGUGUAGUUAAUAGCUGCAGUAUUUGUACGUUAGCGACAGAAGAAGCACCGGCUAACUCCGUGCCAGCAGCCGCGGUAAUACGGAGGGUGCGAGCGUUAAUCGGAAUUACUGGGCGUAAAGCGCAUGCAGGUGGUUUGUUAAGUCAGAUGUGAAAGCCCGGGGCUCAACCUCGGAAUAGCAUUUGAAACUGGCAGACUAGAGUACUGUAGAGGGGGUAGAAUUUCAGGUGUAGCGGUGAAAUGCGUAGAGAUCUGAAGGAAUACCGGUGGCGAAGGCGGCCCCUGGACAGAUACUGACACUCAGAUGCGAAAGCGUGGGAGC
This 440-nucleotide ribosomal RNA is filed under the name uncultured bacterium. Its description in RNAcentral is "bacterial SSU rRNA". It matches the Rfam family "Bacterial small subunit ribosomal RNA", at positions 335 to 769 of the family's 1533-position model. The record is from RNAcentral.